This 857-nucleotide ribosomal RNA is filed under the name uncultured Lactobacillus sp. RNAcentral describes it as "bacterial SSU rRNA". It matches the Rfam family "Bacterial small subunit ribosomal RNA", at positions 595 to 1444 of the family's 1533-position model. Lineage: Bacteria; Bacillati; Bacillota; Bacilli; Lactobacillales; Lactobacillaceae. The record is from RNAcentral.
GAAAAGCCCUCGGCUUAACUGAGGAAUAGCAUCGGAAACUGUCUUUCUUGAGUGCAGAAAGAGGAGAGUGGAAACUCCAUGUGUAGCGGUGGAAUGUGUAGAUAUAUGGAAGAACACCAGUGGCGAAGGCGGCUCUCUGGUCUGUAAACUGACGCUGAGGCUCGAAAGCAUGGGUAGCGAACAGGAUUAGAUACCUCUGGUAGUCCAUGCUGUAAACGAUGAGUGCUAAGUGUUGGGAGGUUUUCCGCCUCUCAGUGCUGCAGCUAACGCAUUAAGCACUCCGCCUGGGGAGUACGACCGCAAGGUUAAAACUCAAAGGAAUUUGACGGGGGCCCGCACAAGCGGUGGAGCAUGUGGUUUAAUUCGAAGCAACGCGAAGAACCUUACCAGGUCUUGACAUCUAGUGCCAACCUAAGAGAUUAGGCGUUCCCUUCGGGGACACUAAGACAGGUGGUGCAUGGCUGUCGUCAGCUCGUGUCGUGAGAUGCUGGGUUAGGUCCCGCAACGAGCGCAACCCUUAUUAUUAGUUGCCAGCAUUAAGUUGGGCACUCUAAUGAGACUGCCGGUGACAAACCGGAGGAAGGUGGGGAUGACGUCAAGUCAUCAUGCCCCUUAUGACCUGGGCUACACACGUGCUACAAUGGGCAGUACAACGAGGAGCGAACUUGUGAAGGCAAGCGAAUCUCUGAAAGCUGUUCUCAGUUCGGACUGUAGGCUGCAACUCGCCUACACGAAGCUGGAAUCGCUAGUAAUCGCGGAUCAGCACGCCGCGGUGAAUACGUUCCCGGGCCUUGUACACACCGCCCGUCACACCAUGAGAGUUUGUAACACCCAAAGCCGGCCGGAUAACCUAGUUU